GAUGAAGAACGCAGCGAAAUGCGAUAAGUAAUGUGAAUUGCAGAAUUCAGUGAAUCAUCGAAUCUUUGAACGCACAUUGCGCCCUUUGGUAUUCCGAAGGGCAUGCCUGUUCGAGCGUCAUUUCACCACUCAAGCCUGGCUUGGUAUUGGGCGCCGCGGUCGAUCCGCGCGCCUCAAAGUCUCCGGCUGAGCUGUCCGUCUCUAAGCGUUGUGAUUUCAUUAAUCGCUUCGGAGUGCGGGCGGCCGCGGCCGUUAAAUCUUUCACAAGGUUGACCUCGGAUCAGGUAGGGAUACCCGCUGAACUUAAGCAUAUCAAUAAGCGGAGAA
RNAcentral lists this unclassified non-coding RNA (327 nucleotides) under soil metagenome. RNAcentral describes it as "partial contains 5.8S ribosomal RNA, internal transcribed spacer 2, and large subunit ribosomal RNA". The stretch from base 1 to 120 matches the Rfam family "5.8S ribosomal RNA", at positions 35 to 154 of the family's 154-position model. The record is from RNAcentral.